CCUACGGGAGGCUGCAGUGGGGAAUAUUGCACAAUGGGCGCAAGCCUGAUGCAGCCAUGCCGCGUGUGUGAAGAAGGCCUUCGGGUUGUAAAGCACUUUCAGCGGGGAGGAAGGCGGUGAGGUUAAUAACCUCAUCGAUUGACGUUACCCGCAGAAGAAGCACCGGCUAACUCCGUGCCAGCAGCCGCGGUAAUACGGAGGGUGCAAGCGUUAAUCGGAAUUACUGGGCGUAAAGCGCACGCAGGCGGUCUGUCAAGUCGGAUGUGAAAUCCCCGGGCUCAACCUGGGAACUGCAUUCGAAACUGGCAGGCUAGAGUCUUGUAGAGGGGGGUAGAAUUCCAGGUGUACCGGUGGAAUGCGUAGAGAUCUGGAGGAAUACCGGUGGCGAAGGCGGCCCCCUGGACAAAGACUGACGCUCAGGUGCGAAAGCGUGGGGAGCAAACAGGAUUAGAUACCCGAGUAGUC
Molecule: ribosomal RNA, 465 nt
Filed under: uncultured Klebsiella sp.
Lineage: Bacteria; Pseudomonadati; Pseudomonadota; Gammaproteobacteria; Enterobacterales; Enterobacteriaceae
Description: bacterial SSU rRNA
Rfam family: Bacterial small subunit ribosomal RNA
Source: RNAcentral